This 625-nucleotide long non-coding RNA is filed under the name Sorghum bicolor (sorghum). RNAcentral describes it as "long non-coding RNA (SBIC_LNC010542)". The record is from RNAcentral. Lineage: Eukaryota; Viridiplantae; Streptophyta; Magnoliopsida; Poales; Poaceae.
GCCGUUGGGGGGAUAGACAGAUCCAAAAAAUUAUUCCGAUCGAUUUUGAUAUAUGGAACGUCAAAAUUGGAGUUCGUAUGCGAAAGUUAUGGCUGUUUUACGAACGGACUCCGAAUUAGAGGGCAAAACAGUCCGGAAGUGGGAAAAAUUUGCGAUGGUGGCUAGAAAUAGAUGGAAAUAGUGGGAAAAAAUAGACAAACUGGACUGUAACAAGACCUAACCAGUAACAAGACCUUGACCAGGACACAAACUCAACACUACGGACUCUGAAACUGAAAUAUGCAAAGGCUAUGGCGCGGAUGGGUUGUAGGACAUGAAAACAAUAUGGCACUAGACUUAUGCGACGAACACAAGGACACUUGAAACUAAGGGUAGAUGUGAACCUAACGAUAUGUCUGAAGCUUCGAAUACCACUUCAGGAGAACAAGUGUGGCCCGAUCUUCCGAAACUUUCUGGUAACUAUCGAUUUGGUGGAAACGAGAGACAUAUCAAUCCAGCUUGCGAACAACACAAUUCGAAACCCUGCAAUUCUUUUUAUUUUUUUUUAUAUUUUUCUUUUACUAAGGAGCACUCAAGAAAUAACCACAGGAAAUUUAAGCUUAAACAAGUGAAAGACGUGGCCUGU